AUUGAACGCUGGCGGCAGGCUUAGCACAUGCAAGUCGAGCGGUAGCACAGGGGAGCUUGCUCCCUGGGUGACGAGCGGCGGACGGGUGAGUAAUGUCGGGGAAACUGCCUGAUGGAGGGGGAUAACUACUGGAAACGGUAGCUAAUACCGCAUAACGUCUCAAGACCAAAGAGGGUGACCUUCGGGCCUCUUGCCAUCAGAUGUGCCCAGAUGGGUUUGGCUAGUAGGUGGGGGAAUGGCUCACCGAGGCGACGAUCCCUAGCUGGUCUGAGAGGAUGACCAGCCCCACUGGACCUGAGACACGGUCAAGCCUCCUACGGGAGGCAGCGGUGGGGAUUUUUGCACAAUGGGCGAAAGCCUGAUGCAGCCAUGCCGCGUGUGUGAAGAAGGCCUUCGGGUUGUAAAGCCCUUUCAGCGAGGAGGAAGGUGGUGAGCUUAAUACGUUCCUCAAUUGCCGUUACUAGCAGAAGAAGCACCGGCUACCUCCGU
RNAcentral lists this ribosomal RNA (489 nucleotides) under uncultured bacterium. Its description in RNAcentral is "partial 16S ribosomal RNA". It matches the Rfam family "Bacterial small subunit ribosomal RNA", at positions 30 to 506 of the family's 1533-position model. The record is from RNAcentral.